RNAcentral lists this ribosomal RNA (465 nucleotides) under uncultured bacterium. RNAcentral describes it as "bacterial SSU rRNA". It matches the Rfam family "Bacterial small subunit ribosomal RNA", at positions 331 to 793 of the family's 1533-position model. The record is from RNAcentral.
CCAGACUCCUACGGGAGGCAGCAGUGAGGAAUAUUGGUCAAUGGCCGGAAGGCUGAACCAGCCAAGCCGCGUGAGGGAGGAAGGCGCAGAGCGUCGCAGACCUCUUUUGCCGGGGGACAAAAGGCCGGACUCGUCCGGUCCCGAGGGUACCCGGAGAAAAAGCAUCGGCUAACUCCGUGCCAGCAGCCGCGGUAAUACGUAGGUGGCAAGCGUUGUCCGGAUUUACUGGGUGUAAGGGGCGUGUAGCCGGGCUGACAAGUCAGAUGUGAAAUCCGGGGGCUCAACCCCUGAACUGCAUUUGAAACUGUUGGUCUUGAGUAUCGGAGAGGCAGGCGGAAUUCCUAGUGUGGCGGUGAAAUGCGUAGAUAUUAGGAGGAACACCAGUGGCGAAGGCGGCCUGCUGGACGACAACUGACGGUGAGGCGCGAAAGCGUGGGGAGCAAACAGGAUUAGAUACCCCCGUAC